This 458-nucleotide ribosomal RNA is filed under the name Reteporella atlantica. RNAcentral's name for it is "partial large subunit ribosomal RNA". It matches the Rfam family "Archaeal large subunit ribosomal RNA", at positions 1921 to 2666 of the family's 2987-position model. The record is from RNAcentral. Lineage: Eukaryota; Metazoa; Bryozoa; Gymnolaemata; Cheilostomatida; Phidoloporidae.
AGCCUUUUGAAUUUAUAUAAGGUCAAAUCUGCCCAAUGUUAUUUAUAAUUAAUGGAUACUAAUUGUAUAAAGUAGCAUAAUAAUUUGUCUUUUUAUUAGAGACCGGAAUGAAUGAAAUUACGAGGCUCAGCUGUCUCCUAGUAUAAAACCAAAAAUUGAUUUAAAAAUGAAAAAUCUUUUAUUUAUUUGUAGGACGAUAAGACCCUAUAGAGUUUUAAUACAAUAGAUAUAGGACAUAUUAUAUCUAUAUAUUUUUGUUGGGGCAACAUAAGAACAAUAAAAAUCUUAACCUUAUAAAACCUUAAAAAGAAAAUAAAACAAACUACCUUAGGGAUAACAGUGCAAUCUUACCAAAGAGAACUAAUCGAAGGUAAGAUAUGCAACCUCGAUGUUGGACCAGGAAAACUACAAAUAUGCAGAAGUAUUGUUAAGUAAGUCUGUUCGACUUUUAAAAUCCU